RNAcentral lists this ribosomal RNA (216 nucleotides) under Glomeromycotina sp. Its description in RNAcentral is "partial small subunit ribosomal RNA". The stretch from base 44 to 216 matches the Rfam family "Eukaryotic small subunit ribosomal RNA", at positions 690 to 864 of the family's 1831-position model. The record is from RNAcentral. Lineage: Eukaryota; Fungi; Glomeromycota.
GGGUCAGUAGGUUGGUCGUGCCACCGGUACGUACUGGUCCCACUGAUUCCUCCUUCCUGAAGAACCGUAAUGCCAUUAAUUUGGUGUUGCGGGGAAACAGGACUGUUACUUUGAAAAAAUUAGAGUGUUUAAAGCAAGCUAACGCUUGAAUACAUUAGCAUGGAAUAAUGAAAUAGGACGAUCGAUCCUAUUUUGUUGGCUUCUAGGAUUGACGUA